UUCUGAGUGCUGUCCUCCUCACCUGCUGGUGACUAGUGAUUAUGUGUUUCACCUGCUGCAACGAGCACAUUAGGGCUCACAGAAUUGUUGGCUGUGGGAUCAUUGUUUGAGUUGCUUGGAGACUGUUUUGGACUUACGAACACGAAAGCUUCCUGACAUUCCCCCCCAUCUUGGAAAGACAACCUUCCGGCAUCGUAAGCAAGCACGAAGAGGAAAGUAAAACGUUGGAGCAAACGGAAGUCCAGAGAGUGAGGUCGGCACGAUUUGGUCACGCUGCAAAUCUGGAACUUUUGAGCCAAGCUAUGUCGAAUUAAUGGAUUGCCCAAUCAACUAGAAAAGUCUGCAGCCAGCUUGACCCAACGGACAACUGUCCAUGGAGUGAGUCACUAUACUAUUGUUCAUAAUACAUGCAGCACAUCACCGUACACUACAGUACAUACACUGUGGAGCUAGCUGUGUACAAACAAAACAUGAAACCUGAGCUAAUACUUUACAGAUACUGUCAUGACUUUUCAUGUUUUUCAUUCAGUAUGCAUUGUGUUGCGCAUUACAAAUUCAAACCUGUUUUGUUCUGACAUAGAAGCUAGCUUAUCUCUUGCCGUAGUUAGCUUUUACAGCUAAUACAGUAGCACGCCGAUGUGUUACUACGAUAGAAAAAUAAUUUCUCUGUGUUCGCAUAUACAAUAACAAUGUUGCUACAGUUUGGUUAUUAUACAGGUCACGGAAUAAAUGAUGUAUCGUUGACCGUUUUUGAAUGCAUUUCUGAAGGGAUUUGCUUGCCACCUAGAACGAGACAGUUUUUAUAUGUUAGAAAGCGAAAUAAACAACAACCUUUUGUCU
Entelurus aequoreus (snake pipefish) is the source of this 840-nucleotide long non-coding RNA. RefSeq lists it as uncharacterized. NCBI's taxonomy places the organism in Eukaryota, Metazoa, Chordata, Actinopteri, Syngnathiformes, Syngnathidae. The transcript has 3 exons. The record is from RefSeq and is a predicted model, not a curated record.